GUCGCUUUGGCCGAGUGGUUAAGGCGUGUGCCUGCUAAGUACCUGGGUUCAUCCCGCGAGAGUUCGAAUCUCUCAGGCGACG
This 82-nucleotide transfer RNA is filed under the name Gossypium hirsutum (cotton). It matches the Rfam family "tRNA". From Rfam's summary of the family: Transfer RNA (tRNA) molecules are approximately 80 nucleotides in length. Their secondary structure includes four short double-helical elements and three loops (D, anti-codon, and T loops). The record is from Rfam by way of RNAcentral. Lineage: Eukaryota; Viridiplantae; Streptophyta; Magnoliopsida; Malvales; Malvaceae.